GACGAACGCUGGCGGCGUGCUUAACACAUGCAAGUCGAACGGCAACGCCCUGCUUUCGUGGUGUGCUCGAGUGGCGAACGGGUGAGUAACACGUGAGUAACCUGCUCUUGACUUUGGGAUAACUUCAGGAAACUGGGGCUAAUCUCGGAUAGGAGCUCCUGCUGCAUGGUGGGGGUGGGAACGUUUCGGCUGGUGGGGUUGGAUUCGCGGCUUAUCGGCUAGUUGGUGGGGUAGUGGCAUACCAAGGCUUUGACGGGUCGCCCGCCUGAGAGGGGGGCCGGGCACAAUAGUACUACGGGAGGGAGCAGUGGGGAAUAGGGGGCAAUGGGGGGGAGCCUGACCCAAUGAGACGGAGUGUGAUGCGAAGGCGCCGCGUGCGGGAAGACGGCCUGUGGGUAAUGAAAAGCUUUAGCCUAAGACGAAGCGGUAGUGACGGUAAUGGAUGAAGAAGCACCGGCUAACUACGUG
This 468-nucleotide ribosomal RNA is filed under the name uncultured bacterium. Its description in RNAcentral is "partial 16S ribosomal RNA". It matches the Rfam family "Bacterial small subunit ribosomal RNA", at positions 28 to 507 of the family's 1533-position model. The record is from RNAcentral.